AUUGAACGCUGGCGGCAUGCCUUACACAUGCAAGUCGAACGGCAGCACGGGAGCAAUCCUGGUGGCGAGUGGCGAACGGGUGAGUAAAGUAUCGGAACGUACCUUUCAGUGGGGGAUAACGUAGCGAAAGUUACGCUAAUACCGCAUAUUCUGUGAGCAGGAAAGCAGGGGAUCGCAAGACCUUGCGCUGAUUGAGCGGCCGAUAUCAGAUUAGCUAGUUGGUGAGGUAAAGGCUCACCAAGGCGACGAUCUGUAGCGGGUCUGAGAGGAUGAUCCGCCACACUGGAACUGAGACACGGUCCAGACUCCUACGGGAGGCAGCAGUGGGGAAUUUUGGACAAUGGGCGCAAGCCUGAUCCAGCCAUGCCGCGUGAGUGAAGAAGGCCU
RNAcentral lists this ribosomal RNA (387 nucleotides) under uncultured bacterium. Its description in RNAcentral is "bacterial SSU rRNA". It matches the Rfam family "Bacterial small subunit ribosomal RNA", at positions 30 to 417 of the family's 1533-position model. The record is from RNAcentral.